Molecule: transfer RNA, 76 nt
Filed under: bacterium
Lineage: Bacteria
Description: tRNA-Pro
Rfam family: tRNA
About the family: Transfer RNA (tRNA) molecules are approximately 80 nucleotides in length. Their secondary structure includes four short double-helical elements and three loops (D, anti-codon, and T loops). Further hydrogen bonds mediate the characteristic L-shaped molecular structure. tRNAs have two regions of fundamental functional importance: the anti-codon, which is responsible for specific mRNA codon recognition, and the 3' end, to which the tRNAs corresponding amino acid is attached (by aminoacyl-tRNA synthetases). tRNAs cope with the degeneracy of the genetic code in two manners: having more than one tRNA (with a specific anti-codon) for a particular amino acid; and 'wobble' base-pairing, i.e. permitting non-standard base-pairing at the 3rd anti-codon position.
Source: RNAcentral
CGGGUCGUGGCGCAGUUGGUAGCGCGCUUGCAUGGGGUGCAAGAGGUCGUGGGUUCAAGUCCCGCCGAUCCGACCA